Molecule: long non-coding RNA, 546 nt
Organism: Drosophila nasuta
Lineage: Eukaryota; Metazoa; Arthropoda; Insecta; Diptera; Drosophilidae
Exons: 2
Source: RefSeq, a predicted model, not a curated record
UCGCGUAUUUUCAAAGCCACUAAAGACAAAAGCUAAUUGCUGUAAUACAUAGAGUUAACAGGCUUGUAAACCUUUUUGUUACAUUUUUAUUGCAACUUUUGCCUUUUUCUUUAAUCAAUUAAUAAAUCUUUAAGUUGCGUAAGAAAUACAUAAAUGCCUUAGUGUUUCUGCGUGUAUAGUUGUGGUCUUGGUGAAAAUUAUUCUUGUACAUUAAGAACUUUCAAUUCACCGUCCAGUUGCACGGAGCACACAUUGAUGACACUAAUGAACUUCAAUUGCAUGGGAAGCAAACCCACCAAUAACGCACUUUCAUAUCGACUGCAGUCUAGACUCUAUACUCCCCAGAGUCAGCAUCUAAGUUUGUCUCAGACAUUUCGGCGUCGACGUUCGCAGAGAAGUUCGUGAUGUCGUUGUAAUAGUGAGCUAAACCCGCUUCACUUGAUGAGAAGUCAUAAACGAGUUGUUUGGCCCCUAAUGGGAUUGUUCUUAUUGCAUGUGUAAAACUUGUGAUGUUUUUCAAUAAAACAUUUAUGUAGAUGCUAAAAA